This 375-nucleotide ribosomal RNA is filed under the name uncultured organism. RNAcentral's name for it is "partial 16S ribosomal RNA". It matches the Rfam family "Bacterial small subunit ribosomal RNA", at positions 527 to 896 of the family's 1533-position model. The record is from RNAcentral.
GUAGGUGGCAAGCGUUGUCCGGGAAUUAUUGGGGCGUAAAGCGCGCGCAGGCGGUUCUUUAAGUCUGAUGUGAAAGCCCACGGGCUCAACCGUGGAGGGUCAUUGGAAACUGGAGAACUUGAGUACAGAAGAGGAAAGCGGAAUUCCACGUGUAGCGGUGAAAUGCGUAGAGAUGUGGAGGAACACUAGUGGCGAAGGCGGCUUUCUGGUCUGUAACUGACGCUGAGGCGCGAAAGCGUGGGGAGCAAACAGGAUUAGAUACCCUGGUAGUCCACGCCGUAAACGAUGAGUGCUAAGUGUUAGGGGGUUUCCGCCCCUUAGUGCUGCAGCUAACGCAUUAAGCACUCCGCCUGGGGAGUACGGCCGCAAAGGCUG